RNAcentral lists this ribosomal RNA (568 nucleotides) under Claviceps paspali (paspalum staggers ergot). RNAcentral describes it as "eukaryotic LSU rRNA". It matches the Rfam family "Eukaryotic large subunit ribosomal RNA", at positions 54 to 646 of the family's 3401-position model. The record is from RNAcentral. Lineage: Eukaryota; Fungi; Ascomycota; Sordariomycetes; Hypocreales; Clavicipitaceae.
AGGAAAAGAAACCAACAGGGAUUGCCCCAGUAACGGCGAGUGAAGCGGCAACAGCUCAAAUUUGAAAUCUGGCCCCCGGGCCCGAGUUGUAAUUUGCAGAGGAUGCUUUUGGCGAGGCGCCUUCCGAGUUCCCUGGAACGGGACGCCAUAGAGGGUGAGAGCCCCGUCUGGUUGGAUGCCGAGCCUCUGUAAAGCUCCUUCGACGAGUCGAGUAGUUUGGGAAUGCUGCUCUAAAUGGGAGGUAUAUGUCUUCUAAAGCUAAAUAUUGGCCAGAGACCGAUAGCGCACAAGUAGAGUGAUCGAAAGAUGAAAAGCACUUUGAAAAGAGGGUUAAACAGUACGUGAAAUUGUUGAAAGGGAAGCGCUUGUGACCAGACUUGGGCCCGGCGGAUCACCCAGCGUUCUCGCUGGUGCACUCCGGCGGGCCCAGGCCAGCAUCAGCUCGUCCCGGGGGACAAAGGCUCUGGGAAUGUGGCUCCUCCGGAGUGUUAUAGCCCUCUGCGCAAUGCCCUGGGGCGGGCUGAGGAUCGCGCAUCGCGCAAGGAUGCUGGCGUAAUGGUCAUCAGCG